Molecule: transfer RNA, 73 nt
Filed under: Sphaerobolus stellatus SS14
Lineage: Eukaryota; Fungi; Basidiomycota; Agaricomycetes; Geastrales; Sphaerobolaceae
Description: tRNA-Arg (CCT) (tRNA-Arg-CCT-4-1, tRNA-Arg-CCT-4-2)
Rfam family: tRNA
About the family: Transfer RNA (tRNA) molecules are approximately 80 nucleotides in length. Their secondary structure includes four short double-helical elements and three loops (D, anti-codon, and T loops). Further hydrogen bonds mediate the characteristic L-shaped molecular structure. tRNAs have two regions of fundamental functional importance: the anti-codon, which is responsible for specific mRNA codon recognition, and the 3' end, to which the tRNAs corresponding amino acid is attached (by aminoacyl-tRNA synthetases). tRNAs cope with the degeneracy of the genetic code in two manners: having more than one tRNA (with a specific anti-codon) for a particular amino acid; and 'wobble' base-pairing, i.e. permitting non-standard base-pairing at the 3rd anti-codon position.
Source: RNAcentral
GCCGCGUUGGCCUAAUUGGUAGGGCGUCUCUUUCCUAAGGAGAAGCUUGCGGGUUCGAGUCCCGUACGUGGUA